AGAACGAACGCUGGCGGCAUGCCUAACACAUGCAAGUCGAACGAGACCUUCGGGUCUAGUGGCGCACGGGUGCGUAACGCGUGGGAAUCUGCCCUUGGGUUCGGGAUAACAGUUGGAAACGACUGCUAAUACCGGAUGAUGUCUUCGGACCAAAGAUUUAUCGCCCAGGGAUGAGCCCGCGUAGGAUUAGCUUGUUGGUGAGGUAAGAGCUCACCAAGGCGACGAUCCUUAGCUGGUCUGAGAGGAUGAUCAGCCACACUGGGACUGAGACACGGCCCAGACUCCUACGGGAGGCAGCAGUGGGGAAUAUUGGACAAUGGGCGAAAGCCUGAUCCAGCAAUGCCGCGUGAGUGAUGAAGGCCUUAGGUUGUAAAGCUCUUUUACCCGGGAUGAUAAUGACAGUACCGGAGAAUAACGCCCCGGCUAACCUCCGUGCCAGCAGCCGC
Molecule: ribosomal RNA, 446 nt
Filed under: uncultured soil bacterium
Lineage: Bacteria
Description: bacterial SSU rRNA
Rfam family: Bacterial small subunit ribosomal RNA
Source: RNAcentral